AAUGGGAUUGCUUUUUUCGUUUCUGAUUUCAGUCUAGGCUUUUCAGCCUUUUUUUUUUUCGUUUCAUAAACUUCUAUCGCACAGUAGUGCAGCUCCGAGUAGUUUCCACCCUCCUUCCACGCCCCUCGCGGAGUCUCGCAUUGGUUUUCGCGCAACAAGUGUUUUACAGUACCCUCUGAAGCCGUUGUUUCAUAGAAUGCCUGUUGUUCGAGCAAGGAAAGCACGCCUUGACCAUGGCUCAAAGCGAUCUAUUUCUCGCUUUCUCGUCUCGGAAGCGGCAAUCGGGAAACUGGUGAAGGACGUCUCAACGGGCACCGAUGCUGCUCAUCCAGUGACGCCAAGGGAACUGGGGAGCGGGUUGCCGCAUGACCCCAUUCACCUUCCUCUUCGAAGGACUCCAAAUGGCAGCGGCUGCUAUCACUGCACCACGGAGGAGUGUUGCUGUGUAGAGUUCGAAAAGAUCUUAUCGAACGCCUACGCUAAAGUGUCAAAGAAACGUGUGGUGGAGGUGUCCGGUUCGCGACAGCUUUGCGCAAAGUCGCUUCUGACGCCUUUUGUAACAAGGCUGGUGCGUCUGAUGAAUAUAACGGAGAAAGACACCUUCUACGAUUUCGGAUGCGGAAAUGGCUCAGUCUUAUUUCAAGUCGCCUUUAUGACCGGUGCGAAGUGUGUUGGUGUGGAAAUCAGCGAGCACAACGCAGAUGUUGCACGAGAGGCCUGGCAGCUCCUGCGGCAGGUGCUGGAGAAAAAGUACGAUCGGCCGAUGCCGAGGGUGGAAAUUAUCACGGCGGAUUUGGCUGAACUCCUCUCUACACCUACGUACUUCGACGAGGAAGAAGGGCAGACGGCUAUCCUGAUAUCGAACCUUCUCUUCCCGAAGCCCCUGACGCACUUUUUGUCAGAGCGUCUCCGAUCGGCCCCUGUAGGAACCCGUAUCCUAUGUUUUGACGAUUUGUACCCACACGCUCGCUCCGUGGCUCCGUACAGAGACCCUGGUGCUUUUGAGCUGUUCGAAAUGAAAGAUUACUUGUGGCAAGAGAUGAGUGUGGAGUGGUGCUCGAUGGAAGGCAGGUUCUUCAUUCACACGCGGAAGUAGCGCUCUUGUUGUGCCAACUGUUAACGUACUGCAAGUCAUGUCUCUCGCCUGCUCGUGAAAAUCUUUUGCUUGCCGUUUGUUUGUCUGUAUCCGUUUUUUUUUUUCUUUUUUUUUUGUGUGUGUAUCUAUGCUUGCUCUUCACCUGGUGCUGUUGUUCUGCCCACCUUUCCUUGUACCAUGAUCCUUCACGUUUUCGCAUCGGAGGCAGAAAAUGCCCAUGCGGUAUUCCUG
Molecule: unclassified non-coding RNA, 1327 nt
Filed under: Leishmania donovani
Lineage: Eukaryota; Euglenozoa; Kinetoplastea; Trypanosomatida; Trypanosomatidae
Description: gene:LdHU3.07.0060(CDS-product:histone-lysine_N-m ethyltransferase_putative)
Source: RNAcentral